This 271-nucleotide ribosomal RNA is filed under the name uncultured prokaryote. Its description in RNAcentral is "partial 16S ribosomal RNA". It matches the Rfam family "Bacterial small subunit ribosomal RNA", at positions 524 to 794 of the family's 1533-position model. The record is from RNAcentral.
UUCAGAGGUCCCGAGCGUUGUUCGGAUUUACUGGGCGUAAAGGGAGCGUAGGCGGUUCGGUAUGUCGAAUGUGAAAGCCCACAACUCAACUGUGGAAAUGCAUUCGAAACUGCCGGGCUAGAGUACUGGAGAGGAGAGCGGAAUUCUUGGUGUAGCGGUGAAAUGCGUAGAUAUCAAGAGGAACACCGGUGGCGAAGGCGGCUCUCUGGACAGAUACUGACGCUGAGGCUCUAAAGUUAGGGGAGCAAACAGGAUUAGAUACCCGGGUAGU